RNAcentral lists this ribosomal RNA (497 nucleotides) under uncultured bacterium. Its description in RNAcentral is "partial 16S ribosomal RNA". It matches the Rfam family "Bacterial small subunit ribosomal RNA", at positions 28 to 507 of the family's 1533-position model. The record is from RNAcentral.
GAUGAACGCUGGCGGCGUGCCUAAUACAUGCAAGUCGAGCAAACAGACGAGGAGCUUGCUCCUCUGACGUUAGCGGCGGACGGGUGAGUAACACGUGGAUAACCUACCUAUAAGACUGGGAUGACUUCGGGAAACCGGAGCUAAUACCGGAUAAUAUAUUGAACCGCAUGGUUCAAUAGUGAAAGACGGUUUUGCUGUCACUUAUAGAUGGAUCCGCGCCGCAUUAGCUAGUUGGUAAGGUAACGGCUUACCAAGGCAACGAUGCGUAGCCGACCUGAGAGGGUGAUCGGCCACACUGGAACUGAGACACGGUCCAGACUCCUACGGGAGGCAGCAGUAGGGAAUCUUCCGCAAUGGGCGAAAGCCUGACGGAGCAACGCCGCGUGAGUGAUGAAGGUCUUCGGAUCGUAAAACUCUGUUAUUAGGGAAGAACAAAUGUGUAAGUAACUAUGCACGUCUUGACGGUACCUAAUCAGAAAGCCACGGCUAACUACGUG